Molecule: ribosomal RNA, 423 nt
Filed under: uncultured bacterium
Lineage: Bacteria
Description: bacterial SSU rRNA
Rfam family: Bacterial small subunit ribosomal RNA
Source: RNAcentral
UGAGGAAUAUUGGUCAAUGGCCGGGAGGCUGAACCAGCCAAGCCGCGUGAGGGAAGAAGGCGCAGAGCGUCGUAAACCUCUUUUGUCAGGGGACAAAACCGGUCACGUGUGGCCGGCUGAGGGUACCUGAAGAAAAAGCAUCGGCUAACUCCGUGCCAGCAGCCGCGGUAAUACGGAGGAUGCGAGCGUUAUCCGGAUUUAUUGGGUUUAAAGGGUGCGCAGGCGGUUCUUUAAGUCAGCGGUAAAAGCCCGGGGCUCAACCCCGGCGAGCCGUUGAAACUGGGGGACUCGAGAGAGAGAGAGGUAUGCGGAAUGCGCGGUGUAGCGGUGAAAUGCAUAGAUAUCGCGCAGAACUCCGAUUGCGAAGGCAGCAUACCGGUUCUUAUCUGACGCUGAGGCACGAAAGCGUGGGGAUCGAACAGG